GUCUCUUCGGAGACCCGAUAAAAUUGGAACGGCACACAUGGCUCCUGCGCAAGGAUGACACGCACAAAUCGAUAAAUGGUGGUCCACAUUUUU
This 93-nucleotide small nuclear RNA is filed under the name Oryza meridionalis. The record is from RNAcentral. Lineage: Eukaryota; Viridiplantae; Streptophyta; Magnoliopsida; Poales; Poaceae.